AAAAGGGGAAAGGGAGAGGGGAAAAGGGGGAGGGGGACAGCGCCGCCGAAGAGGGAGCUUUCUGCUUGAGCUUCAGCUUCUAUUUCUGUGACUGCUGUGUUGCCGGGAAGGAGAGCCCGACGUGAGGAGGGCGGCGUGCGAAGGAGAGAGAGAGAUUUGAGGCUGAGCUGGGCUCCUACCACCACCGAUCUGCCCAACCGCCGUUGCUCCGUCGCCCACGAGUUGCCGGUGGUUUUGCUUCAGCUUCUGCAUCUGAGGUCCUGGUGCUCGUUGAUGUUGUUAUUCUUGGUGGUGGAGGUGCUGGUGGUGGUGGAGGUAAAGGUGUUGCUAUUGGUGGAGGGUAUUUUUGUCCAAAAAAAAGUUAAAAGGACGAUUUUAAUACGAAAAAAAAAACGUUAAGGAUGAUUCUAAAUAAAAAAAGACGUUGGGAACGGUUUCAAUUCUGACCCUCAACAUUAGGGACCAAAACAAUACUUACUCCUAAAAAUUACAAAUUAAUUAUUUUUAAUAUGGAAAAAUAUAUAUAGACAAUGAGAAUACUAAACAGUAAACAAUGUGAAUAAUGGAUAUGUCGAAUGUUCAAUUCAAUAGAUAUGCAGAUAAUUAUGUUCAUUAUUUUUAAUUAGAUGGUUAUUCAUUUUGAUUCGGUUUACUCAUGCAUAGUUAAUAAUGGGUGGAUGUUCAAUUCAUUAAGUGUGCAGAUGGUUAUCCUACUGUUAGGAUUUAGGGGAUAAUUUGAGAGUGGAGUAUUUUUCUUUACUUUAUUGGGCUAAUUUUAGAACCCAUUGUUCCCAUUAUUUACAAAAAUCAUUGUCUAUCUAACAAAACCCUUUUAAUAUUCUAUCACUCUAUUAACAGUUUUCGUCAACUACUAACAAUAUAAAAUGUUAACUAAUAAUAUACACUUGUCGGAAUAAAGAAAAGACAAAAAUAAUUAAUUUAUAAUUUUUAAAAGACUAAUUUAAUUUAUAUAAUCUUUUAGAAACAAAUUUAAAUAAUGACCUAUGUUUUUUAUGAGCGAAUUUAACCAUUAAUCCUAUUUUUAUAUUAUGUAAACAUUAUUUUUUAAAUUUAAAUGCUAUAAUAUGGUUUAUUGCAAUGACUACAUGCAAUAUGAUGCCUAAUGACCCGAGUGUUUCUCUAUGUGUUGCUUAUACCAAAGAGCAACCUUUCAAUUAAAGCAAAAUUCAAGUUGUGCACACAAAAACAUAGGCAUCAUCGCAAGUGUAUGUUGACCCUUCUUGGAAGUGAAGCAGCUGAUGAAUAUAGUAAAAAUAAUAAUAAUAAUAAUAAUAAUAAUCAAUAAUUCUUGGUUCAUGGACAGAGUGGUAAGUAAUAAGUAAGUAGGACACAACUAACAGGAGAAGCAGAAGUUGAAGUGAUUUCCAAGAAAAUGUCCUUCAUCUUUCAACAUGAUUAAAGUUUUCAUUUUUCACUGCCAUGCCCAGCCGUAUAUUUAUUAGGUGGAUCCAUUUCAUAUUCCAUGUAUAUAAUUCCAAGUUUCUUCACAAAUAAAAACAAAAACGUUUCCCUUUAUUUUAA
Arachis stenosperma is the source of this 1542-nucleotide long non-coding RNA. RefSeq lists it as uncharacterized. The record is from RefSeq and is a predicted model, not a curated record. The transcript has 2 exons. NCBI's taxonomy places the organism in Eukaryota, Viridiplantae, Streptophyta, Magnoliopsida, Fabales, Fabaceae.